RNAcentral lists this long non-coding RNA (2381 nucleotides) under Pomacea canaliculata. RNAcentral describes it as "uncharacterized LOC112557512". Lineage: Eukaryota; Metazoa; Mollusca; Gastropoda; Architaenioglossa; Ampullariidae. The record is from RNAcentral.
UGAAAGACAGGUUAUGGCACUCAUAAAUGUCCUGCUGUGCCACAUUUCAGUGGAAGUCCAGGCAAGAAGCCCCAGCAAGCACUUCGUAUGCCCUAACUUUGCCAGAGAACAAAGCCCCCUAAAUCCCCAAUUUAUCAUCUAAAUAUUGUAUCAGCUGAAAAGUCCUUUGGGCAAAAGGUUACCUCAGAAAAAAAAAAGUCAUCAAACCUGAAAGAUCACAUUUGGCCUUGCUUAUGUCAUCAAAGAGCGCAUCCUUCUCUAUAUCAGAAGGACAAUAAUCAUUGGAACAGCAUGCCAAGGACCUGUGCUGUCUUAGCCUGGCUAUUCCCCCAGCCUUAAGUUUGCUUGGGGAAGCAGACAACAGAGUGGUUUGAGCGCUGGCAUCCAAACUAACACCUCAUCCCCCAACAAGCUGAAAAGGUCACCCAACGACGAUAAAAGAGAUACAGAAAUUCAUUCAUUUCCUGGCUAAAUCAUGACAUGGACGAUGUGGUCGAAUCGACUGGAGACCCACAAGUCUAAAGACGAGGUUUUUUGGUUAUCUUUUUCUUUGCAGAGAAACUGGCAUACUUUCACCAGUCUUGUAAUAUUUUUCCUUUGUGUUUUGCAUUCAACAUUUAUUUUUUUUCCAUUGUUGUUUACAUGCUUCUCUCACUGUACUAUGCUUGGAACUUUCUCUAAGGGAGAGGGAUGUUGAAAACAAUUAUUGUUUUUGUUAUGAAACAUGAACAGAUCUACAGGAUAAAAAUAGUAAGAAGUCAGUCUGCAGACUGAUGUUUGUGACAGAAGAAAUAGCCUGCAAAAUAAAUAAUAAAAUAAAUUCCCCCAAAAUGGAGGAUGGGUUGCAAUGUAGACUUCAACUACAUGAAGGAAAACGUACUACAAGAUAACUGUUCCCUAGGCCAAACUAAAUAUGAACCAGAUGAGCUGCUAUAGACUGGCAUUUACCCGAUUAGAUAACGUAAAUAAACACAGGCGCGCGCGCACACACACACAAAGAUGUAUACGUGCUGACAUUUUUUUUUAAGACAAAUUUGGUAUCCUCAUUUAACCAUGAAAAUAAAAAUGAGUGCUAUUUAUUAAAAUAAAUUCUUCAUUUUCACUUUAAUCUCACACAUUAUUUAUAACAUAUUUUACAUUUGGUUGAGAGGUUAAAAACAGGCAUGAAAAGAAUGUUCAAGACCAUUUACAACCAUCCUUCCGCAAAGAAAUUCAUGAACAAUAUUAUCACAUAUAAACUUUUCCUACAGAUCAAUGUAUCUCAUCUCCAUAAACACACAAGAAUUUUAAAUCUCACUCACAAAAAGUUCUUCAAACUGAUUUUUUCACCUUUUUACUGAGAACCACAUACAUUCAGGCUUUGGCACCAAAAGUCAGCAUCAAGAAGACUGAACUUCUGAUAAACAUGGCUAAACUUAUAUGAUACUAAUUAUUGCCACGUUGUUUUAAUCAAAUCCAAGAUCACUGUUACCUCAGUAGGUUCUUUUUCUUCCCCUUUCCUUACCGUGUGUGCACAUCCACCUUCUACAUUUCUGCACAUAUGUUGGAGACUUCCAAAGGCUACUACCAUUGCUGCUGCCUCUAUUUGUAUGAGAAAUUUUGCUGCUUGGAAGGUCUCUAACAACUUCAUGAAAUUUAUAUCUAGUAUGUAGACAAAAGUGGUGAGUAUUUAGUGGACUGCAAGAAAGAAUGAGAAGCGCAGCUAUGACAGCAAGAGACAAAUUACACAUUACUAAAAAGUAUAAUUAUGCUGCCUUGGUUGAAAUUGCAGCUUUCAUCACCUUUCCAAAAGAACAAAACAUAACAUUGUGGCAAUGUUAAACUACUGAUAAUGGGAAUAUGAUGGUAACUGCAGUCUUGAGGAAAAUUAAAGUAUCCAACAAACAAGCAAUUGCAAACUUCCUUGAUGUUCAUGUGCAUACACACAAAUCUCAAGACUUUUAUCAUUCAUCGGAACCUAAGACAACAUACAGCUAAAGAUUCCUUGUAUUACUCUAAUCCUUCGCAAUACACAACCAAUCCGAACAAAUAAAAUUAUAUUCUCCUAACCAACUUCACCUCAAAACCAUCACCAAUGUGGGUUCAAAAUUAAAAUAAACCCCUGCCAGAAAGAAAACCAAUCAAAACUGAACAAAUGUUUCUCAGAUUAGCCUAUGGAAUGUAAAGAUUAACUAAGACCCAUAUCGUAGAUCAUCACAACUAGUAAACUGCAAGCAGAAUUUUAUAAAAUUAAAAUGUACACAGUAUAAGCAACAUGACACGCAUUAUCCAUCGCCAAAGAAUGUACAUAAUCAUCUGUCACUUCAAUAACCUGCAAUGUCUUUCAUUUUCUGAAAUUCUAAGUCCACUGUCUUCAAUAAAAUUGCUUGUCAGCAAGAGAU